CAAUAGCGUAUAUUUAAGUUGUUGCAGUUAAAAAGCUCGUAGUUGGAUUUCGGAUGGGACUUGCCGGUCCGUCGUUUCGAUGUGCACUGGCCAGUCCAAUCUUGUUGUCGGGGACUAGCUCCUGGGCUUCACUGUCCGGGACUAGGAGCUGACGAGGUUACUUUGAGUAAAUUAGAGUGUUCAAAGCAAGCCUACGCUCUGAAUACAUUAGCAUGGAAUAACACGAUAGGACUCUGGCUUAUCUUGUUGGUCUGUGAGACCAGAGUAAUGAUUAAGAGGGACAGUCGGGGGCAUUCGUAUUUCAUUGUCAGAGGUGAAAUUCUUGGAUUUAUGAAAGACGAACUUCUGCGAAAGCAUUUGUCAAGGAUGUUUUCAUUAA
Molecule: ribosomal RNA, 379 nt
Filed under: uncultured eukaryote
Lineage: Eukaryota
Description: partial 18S ribosomal RNA
Rfam family: Eukaryotic small subunit ribosomal RNA
Source: RNAcentral